This 203-nucleotide ribosomal RNA is filed under the name uncultured bacterium. RNAcentral describes it as "partial 16S ribosomal RNA". It matches the Rfam family "Bacterial small subunit ribosomal RNA", at positions 1298 to 1500 of the family's 1533-position model. The record is from RNAcentral.
CUGCAGGCUGCAACUCGCCUGCACGAAGUCGGAAUUGCUAGUAAUCGUAGGUCAGCAUACUACGGUGAAUACGUUCCCGGGCCUUGUACACACCGCCCGUCAAACCAUGAGAGUUGGCAACACUCGAAGUCGGUAGUCUAACCGCAAGGAGGACGCCGCCGAAGGUGGGGUUGAUGAUUAGGGUUAAGUCGUAACAAGGUACC